UGAGGAAUAUUGGGCAAUGCCCGCAAGGGUGACCCAGCAACGCCGCAUGGAGGAUGAAUGUCGUAAGAUUGUAAACUCCUGUUAGAGGGGAAGAAUAGUACCGGUUGGACCGGUAUAUGACUGUACCCUCAGAGAAAGCCCCGGCUAACUACGUGCCAGCAGCCGCGGUAAUACGUAGGGGGCAAGCGUUGUCCGGAUUUACUGGGUGUAAAGGGCGCGCAGGCGGGAUAAAAAGUCAGUGGUGAAAUCCUACAGCUUAACUGUAGAACUGCCUUUGAUACUUUUAUUCUUGAGUUCGGGAGAGAGAGACGGAAUUCCAGGUGUAGUGGUGAAAUACGUAGAUAUCUGGAAGAACACCAGUUGCGAAGGCGGUCUCUUGGUCCGACACUGACGCUGAGGCGCGAAAGCGUGGGGAGCAAACA
This 422-nucleotide ribosomal RNA is filed under the name uncultured bacterium. RNAcentral's name for it is "bacterial SSU rRNA". It matches the Rfam family "Bacterial small subunit ribosomal RNA", at positions 355 to 774 of the family's 1533-position model. The record is from RNAcentral.